RNA transcript from Oreochromis niloticus (Nile tilapia), 5988 nucleotides. It is a transcript of the gene named cyclic AMP-responsive element-binding protein 5, with no coding region annotated. The transcript is spliced from 12 exons. Lineage: Eukaryota; Metazoa; Chordata; Actinopteri; Cichliformes; Cichlidae. The record is from RefSeq and is a predicted model, not a curated record.
GACAUUCAGAUUAAUCACCACUCCCUGUGGAGGGAAAAUGUUCUGUGAAUACUCUAAGUAUGUAGCUGACUCACACAUGUAUUCUUUCUGCCAGACAGGCUGAUAGAUUACUAGAUGUGUCUCACACUGCGUUCACUGUAUUAGUCUCAAUGUGUGGCACCCUGCAGAUACAUUUCAGAUACUUUCAUAAACGGCACGUUAUUACACAGGACCAAGCCCUAUCUAAUUUACAACCAAUGCCUUUGCUGAAGUGACCCAAGACCACUUAAUCGUUGCCGGGGGGAGGAUGUGGUUACGAAAAAAAUUACUUGAGAGUAAAGGCGGUUGUGAUGAAUGUACACACUGUAUGAGUUGAGGAGUACAUACAGGCUUUUUCCAGAUGACUUGCUAAGUCAGUAACGCUACAGUCGGCAACUUCCACCGCCUGAGGCAAGCAGUGUGUACUUCAAAGUCCCAUCUCACACCCCCGGGAAAACAGAAGCAAGUGUGCAUGAAAACACUGCGGGUGGGUUACAUAUGUGAACUACCAGUGCCAUCAAGUGUUCGACCUGGGAAUGUUCAGAAGGAGCUUAAAAAAAACAGUAGAUUUAAGCCAAGCCAUCUAUGUCUGUGUGAGUGUGUGCACUAGCAGGCAUAAUUGCAGCAACAUAUUUAAUAGCUAGCAGAUGUAUUUCAAUUUAGAUCCAAGGACUAGAUCAUCUCUGUGCAAAAAUUAACAACACACCCCUGGAUGCUUCCAACUGUGGUGUGUUGGCCUUCUCAGCCCUUCAGUUUUCAGGCUUUCACACCUCAUAAUUAAACAAAGAAUGCAGACUUCCCACCGUGCGGGAGGAGGAACACUAAGGAGACCAGCAAACAAGAAAACAACCCAGAAAAAAAGAAACUUGCCCACUUCAACUGGUGCAAAACAUAGUCCUAUAUAUGUGACUUUCAAAAUAAAAAGACUAGGCAAAGGGGAAAAAGGGAAGCAAGAUUAUAUACCAAGGUGGUCCGCAGAGGUGGUCUCUGACAGUUUUUUAUAGCUGAGACUUAAUAAUCCUACCUGCUGCUCAGAUGCAGAGACCAGAGCUUUCUGUGCACGCAUAAUUGUGCACAAACACACACACACAUACACACAGAUAAACCUCCAUCCCUGAGUCACGAGACAUGUUUUAGUGAGAGCUACCUGCAUCUUUUAGUAACCUUUUGGAAACCACUGAGUAGACUAGACAACAACGGGGAAAAUCUACUAAAACAAAAUCUAUAUAUGCUCUGAGAUUAAGCAAAAAGAUGACAGGAAUGACAGGUGAGUUUGGAUUAGAGUAUUUAUAACCUUUUUUUUUAUCUAAAAGAUUUCCACGGAGUCCACAGUCGCAUCUUCACAUUGCUUCACAAACUUAAACCAAAGAACAAAACACAUCUGAGGAGGUGAUAGAAACAAACCUAAUUAGUGUGAUCUUUUUAAAAUAGUCAAUCAGAGUCAAACUUAUACAGUUGCAAGAAAAAGUUUGUGAAUAUCCUCAUAUUACCAGGACUUCAAUGCUACUGAUUUUUCCCUCUGUCCUAAUUGAAAACAAUCAAAAGUCUGACUAAAAUCAAAACAAGAGCCAAGCCCAUACGAUUAGCCAGUGUUAUCUGUGUAUCAGUCUAUCGGUAUCAGUGUUUAUAAAAGCCAAUAAAUGUGAAAAAUAAAGACAGGACUGAAGAAACGCUUUUCAACCAUGUUCUGUGUGUUGAGGUUGUGUAGUAAAUAAAUAACUACACAUAACAAAUGUUAGGGAAAUAUGUUCAGCUAAUAUAUUGUAAUAUCAGAUUUUUUUUAUAGAUAUCACUCUGAAAAAUCUUAUAUUGGUCAGAUUCUGCUAACAACAAACAAAAACUUGCACUUUACGUGCUUUUAUUGAACACACUGAGUAAUUACUCACAGUCCAGGCUAGAAAAACACUAAGUGUACCAAAUUCUCCAAAAGCUACUGAAAGUCAGGUGUUCCAAUUAACGACACGGGACUGGAAGUCUGGGAUGCAGCUGUAGCCCUUUCUUUAAAGACAUGCAUGAAAAGCCUAAUGUAGGUUGCUCAUCUCAAGAAUGACUGGCUAGUCUGAACCAGAGGUGGACAAAUAAUGUUCCUAAGGGCCUAUAUAAGAAACUAGGACUACUGUAGAGGGCUGCAGCAAUAAGCUGAACUCAGUUCGGCUUCAUUUUAAUUGUAUCUCUUUAUGAACCUUUACUGGUAAGAGUAGUUGUUACAAUCAGGUCUGAACCAUUCCGUGACUGCAAGAAAAAGCAGUACAGAGAUGCAUAAAGCUGACAGCGUGUCUUGCAAAUAUCAAACCACAGCACACAUCUGAAAGAGGUGAGAACAAGACCGAAGGGUUACAACAAAACACCUGCAGAAGUCUUGCUAAAAUGUUCGUUCAUCUUCACUAGAAAAAAAUUACUUAAUACCAGGACUUCCACCACUCCACUUCCCCAUCAAAAAACCAGCACAUGAAGCAGAAGAAAAGUCAGCAAUACCUUGUAGGCAAACAAACUGCGAGCAGGAGGAAGCAUCAUGGUUUGCGGCUGCUUUGCCACGUCACAGCCUUGAUGCCAAUCAUUAAAGGAACAAUACAUUGAACGCUAUCAAAACAUAAUACAAUAAAGUGUCAGGGGAGGAGUCCAUGAACUGAGGCUUAGGAGAGUGGCAACAACAUAAUAACCCAAAGGACACAAAGUAAGUAUUAAGUGUUUUAAUGGCCAAGACAGUGACUUUAAUCCAACUGAGAUGCUACGGCUAACCUGAAGAGUGCUGUCCAAUCAAGAGUUUUAUAUGGGCCCUCUUCACUGUAUCAGCAGCUACUGUUGCUCCUUCUAUGAGUGACUAAAUUCAAAAGCUGACUUACUUUUAUUAGCCGAUACUGUUAGUGAUCACUCAAUGUGUUCAAUUAAAACAGGAAAACCACAACUGUGUGGUUUUAGUUUAGUCAGAUUAUCGCGGUCCAUAAUUGUAACUUUUUUGUAAAGAUGCAGAUUAGGCCACAUUUUAUGAGUAAUCAAUGCAGAAAUUCUGUUAAUUCCGCAUUUUUUUUCCAACUACAUUGCAGGAUAAGACUGACUCAAAGGAUUAACUGUGAAAGAAACAUCAGCUGAAGGCAAUUUAAUAUGAGAAUGGCAAAAAUGUGACGAAAAAAAUGCCAGAAUUAAUAUCUUGGGAUGUUCAAGGUGCUGAGGAUUGUGGAUGAGGCUUGUGUAUGACAUGAAUGACAAACAGGACAGGCCUUAUCUGUGCGGCGCCCCAGGCUGCUCUCAGCGCUUCCAGUUAGAGGAACAUCUGAUCAUCCACAGGCACAAGCAUGAGAUGACCCUCAAGUUCCCCUCCAUAAAGACAGAUGCAGCAUUCACAGACCAGACUCCGACGCCGACGCGAUUUCUGCAGAACUGCGAAGAGGUUGGUCUCUUCAAGGAGAUCGAGGAAGAAUUUCUUCAAGCACAAGAGGAGGAAAACAAGAAGCAGUCGCUUUCUCAUAAUGGGCCCUCCUGUAUGAGCCAGCACCAGCUCAAACCCCAACUUCAGCUCCAGCACCCACCCCAGCCUCAGCACCCACAUCCCCAACCACCGCUGCAUCAUCCCCAGACUCAUGCACUGCAUCAUCCCCAGACACAUGGCCCCAUGAUGGCCCCUAGCUGCAGCCUGGCCGCCCAGCAAGCCCUGUCCUCCUCCCAGUCUGGAUCAGUCAUCACCCAGGCUACCUCCACCCUAACACACUCCGAGCCGGUUCCCGGGCCGCUGUCGUGCCUCCUUCACAUGCGGAACAGACACAGGCAGCCGCUGCCAGCCUCCUUACCUGGCACCCUGCCAGACCCCGCCAUGCAAGGGGCAUCUGCUCAGCACAUGACUAUAGAGAAGCAGAUGUCUUGUGCAAUGGGUAUACCGGCUCCUGUACACAACCCCUCCUGUUCUUCACCCCAGAGAUCCAAGCAGACAUUGGGCCACCAUUACCAACAGCAUCACCCAGGAAUGAUCACCAUCAAUAACAAUGUGCCACCCAUGGGCCACAUGAUAGAGAUGAUGCCACAGCGUCACCAGACACCUCCACUACAACAGCAACAACCACAACAGCAGCAGCACCACCACCAUCCCCACCAUCAUCACCAUCCUCAGCCUCAUCACUCACAGCUUCCACCUGUGCCUCUUACCUACCAACAGCGGUGCCAUGCUCCCCACCCACAGCAUCUUGGAAGCACCCAGAGCCACCAGCUACACCAGGCAGGGAAUUUACCACCUCACGCUCAGGCUCACCAAUCACCGCCUUCACACUUACACCCAGGCUCACCGCCUGCACCUCCACUGUCUGCUCCUGCGCAGUUAUCACCAGUUGCACAGCAGAUGCAGCCUUCCCAGCCAUCUCACACUCAUGCAAUGCAGGCAGUGGGUAGCUGCGGCGGAGGUGGUGGAGGAGGUGUAGGAGGAGGCGGAAACCGUCGAAGGAGGACAGUAGAGCAGGACCCUGACGAGCGAAGGCAGAAGUUUCUGGAACGUAACCGGGCCGCAGCCACCCGCUGCCGACAGAAGAGGAAGCUGUGGGUGUCAUCGCUGGAGAAGAAAGCUGAAGAGCUGACGCACACGAACCUUCAGCUACAGAACGAGGUGACGUCACUGAGGUCGGAGGUGGGUCAGCUGAAGCAGAUUCUGCUCACCCACAAGGACUGUCCUGUCACUGCUCGGCAGAGGGAGGCACAGGGGUACCCCACUGCAGGGGUGAGCCCAGGAGGAAGUCCCACCCCUGCAGGUCCUGGGUCUCAUCUGCAAGCCAUCCAGCAUAACAGCAUCUCCACUUCCUCGACGUCUGGAGGCGAUUCGGGCCACGACCUCCAGCCCGGACACUAGCCUGCAACGUAUAGGUGAAAUCCCGAACUGGAUAGGAUGAAUUUAUAAAUCCACGUGAACGCUUGAGACAGAAAGACUUAAGAGGAACUUUCUGCAUGUUCUUCCUGUGGAGAUGUGAAGGUCAGCCCUGUAAUGGCCUGGCUACCUGUGCAGGGUGUACCACCUCAAAGUCUGCUUAGAUCCUGGAUAACUGGACAACUACUAACAAAAGUGUCCCAGACUUCAAAGGAUAGCUCUCCCAAAAUUUAACCUAUUGUUCUUCAGCGCUCUAAAUCACUUUGGUGUGAGUUAACCAGUUUUUGAAAAUAUCAGCCAAAGACAUGACUGGCUUCUCUUGAAAAUAGUAAAAGUAAGCGAUACUUUUCUUGCGAUGCCCAAAGACCCCCUCAAAAUGUAUUUUACUAAACUCUUUUAAUGAUUUAUGACCUAGUUACUCAAAUAUAUCCACAAGCUUCGCUGUGGGGUUGUUAUGCAUCAUCUAUCCAUGACUAGAGGCAUGAUGUCCUCCCUCAUACGCUAGCUCCAAGGUUAUUAUAGUUAACUGAAACUAAACUAAAAAAUAAAUAUUAUAAAAAAUACAAAAAACAUUGAGUUGACUGAAAUAAAAAUAAAAACUGGCCUUUUGAAAGAAAUUAAAGCUAAGUUAAAUGAUUUUGUGAACUUGGAAACUAACUGAAAUAAGAUAAAAAUAUAAGGGAAAGAAUACUAGUUUCAGUAUCUUAAAUGUUUUAUUACAACUUGCCUGAUGAGGCAUCCAUGGACAUGUUUCAGACCCUGGAUGUCUGCAACACUGUGACUCAGCUGCUUUCAAGAAGUUAUGUGUUAUUAUUGUAAUAUCUGUACUGAUUUUCCCAAAUCUUGUGUCUAAACAUAUGCCCGCCAUAUUCGCUUCCAUUAUAUUCAAUGGAAGGAACCUGCUUGGACUAAAACACAAAUAAACAAACAACCAAAAAAAUGACGGACAGGCAAGUGGAAAAAUAUGCAGUUUUGAUUUUGGCGUGAACUGUCCCUUUAAGGUCAGCUGUCACAAACCAAGAAGCUUUAAUGUCUAACAUCUUGACUGUCUGAUGCUAUGAAAAGUUUGUGUGCAGGCAAUUGUCAAUAUGUGUGUCUGUGUAUGAUUUGUACUAAAUGUAGGCGGC